RNAcentral lists this long non-coding RNA (2298 nucleotides) under Equus caballus (horse). RNAcentral describes it as "lncRNA (ENSECAG00000051632.1)". The record is from RNAcentral. Lineage: Eukaryota; Metazoa; Chordata; Mammalia; Perissodactyla; Equidae.
UCCCCCGCGUUUUCUCCCCGCUCUGACUCUGUCCUCCGCUGUCCGGAAACGCGCCCCGGAAGGCGGGGUUGGGGAAGACCCCCGCGUGGCGGCUGCGCAGCAGGACGGCAGCAGGACCCCGGAGGCCCAGAAGGGGUUGGUUAAGAACAGCUCUGAUCCGCGCCCCGCGCCUUGCGCAUUUCCCCGAGGACUUGCAGAGAAGCGAAGCACUCCCGGGAGGGAAGGAGGGUGCCCUGAGAGCGAGGACGGGACAGCGCCCCGGAGUCCCGGAGGGAGGUGCUGCUUAGAAGCGUCUCUGCCCGCAACGAGGGUCACCCCGAAUGAGGAGCAGACUCCUGUUCCCCGGAGCUGGGUCAUACUGAGGGAGAAAUGUCAGGACCCCAAGAGCCAGGGCCCUGGGGCUCUCAGAUCUGGAGUCUCCACGGCCAGGGCUGCAUGCCUGCUGCUCUUUGAGCCCUCCUGGGAGGUGGGCCUCUGCCCAGCUCAUCUGGAAGACAGGUCAAGGGAAGGGCCUGCCGCUGCCCUCAGCCCUGUGGGACGGCAGGAGGAGAGAAGUAUUCUGCUGCUUCCCCACUGGGGGUGGGUGAUGAGACCUGUUUGGGAUGCUCAUUUGCUAGUUCCAGGUCUUCUUUUCCCUAAGGAAACACAAAGCAGAUUGGCUUGCUUCUAGAUGACGACUUCUGUGGACUCUAGUCCUACACUUUUCUUCAAAGUAGCAGACACAAUCUUAAUUCCAUGAGGAGGAGGAGCCACAACAGGGGCAUGGGCUUUGGUGGUCCCCAGUGUCAGGAAGGGUGGCUUCCAAUUUUCCUUGGUUUCCAAACCUCGCCUCAAAAUGAAAUCACAAAUAAACCAAAAUAAAACUCAAGUAAAGCAUCUGUGGAUGGUUCGGUUUGAAAGCAGUGGACAGAGAGAUCAGGAAGGGCCCACCUGUAGGAUCCAGUUCGUCCAUCUAGGGUUGAGUUGAACCCAGGAGGUAAGUAAGGUGCUGCAUGGCAGAGGGACCUGCCAGGUUUGGCCUAAGGAGGGUCAGGCCCCCACGUCACUGGAGCUGCUGUCGCCAAAUUCACCGUCCAACACCUCAUUACUAAAGCCACUAGACAAUGACCUCUGAGGCUCCACCUCGGGGUUCCUCACUCCUGGGAUCAGGGGAGUGCUGAGCGAGCCAUGCAGCAGCCAGGGACAAGCAGCCCCUCCCAGUAGCCUGCCCUGGUCCGGGCCAGGUUGCAGCCCACAGACCCCAUCAACGUGGCCUUGGAAAUGCUGCUCCUGGGGAUUAAGCAUUCAAGGCUUGAGAACUCCUGCCCUCAGUGCCUGGAAAUGACAGAAAAAAAUUAAAAUUCGUUAGAACCAGGAGAACAAGAAGGGCACCCUUAAACCGGAAAUCCUGAGGAAUCCUGGGGAGAUGUGGAGGCCAUUGCUCUGGCUGGAGGGAAGAAACCACAGCCAAAGGCACUGAGGCAGAAACCGCGGGCAGGUGACGGGGGCUCAGAGGCAGCAGCUGAGGGGGCCUGGGGCAACUUUCAGGGUGAUGCACAGGGUGUCUGUGGAGCUCGGCCCCACCCCUCGCUAUCCUAAGCAGCAGGCAGUGGACAAAGAAGUUCCCAUUGGUGAACAACACCUGGAAGGAGCAGAGAGUCUCAUGUCCCUGGACUUGCUGGGCCCUCCACACGGUCGCUUGAGGCCACUGACCGCUUGCUGAUGGACAAACGGGGAACUUCACAUACAAAGAGGAGCACAGAUGCCGGCCCCACGGGAAGCACCAAACACCGCAAAUGGACCGACUCAUGAGCUGGCUGAGGCUGUAGCGGGCCAUCUGGGUCAGGCUCUCCUUCCUCCGUGCAUGGGCUAGACUCCAUUUCCCCAAUUCCCUAACAAGGAGGUGUGGCCAUGUGACCAGCUCCUCUGCAGUGGAGUUGAGCAGACAUGACAGGUGCCACUCCUGUGCCUGGCAGCACCUCCCUCCACACUCCUCCCCCUUCCCGUGGGCCCGAAUGGCUAUGACACCAGUGAGUCAGGAAGCUUCACUACCAGGAUUUCAAAUCCCCGUCAGCCGGGGGCCCUGAACCACUGCAGGAGUCGAGGCCACUGUUGACUUGGAAGCCUUGCCACAGGUUCUCAAGAGAGAGUAAGCUUGUCUUUUGUUUGGGCUGUUGGACAAGGGUCUGUACGUUGGAGCAGUUUAACUUCCUGCGCCAGUAUGUAGGCUGCCAGCACAGCAUGGCUGCUAACAGAGCGGUGUAUGUCCACGCCCAGAACUGAACCCAGGCCACUGAAGUGGAGCAUGCUAAAAACAGC